CGAACGCUGGCGGCGUGCUUAACACAUGCAAGUCGAACGGAAAGGCCCUGCUUUUGUGGGGUGCUCGAGUGGCGAACGGGUGAGUAACACGUGAGUAACCUGCCCUUGACUUUGGGAUAACUUCAGGAAACUGGGGCUAAUACCGGAUAGGAGCUCCUGCUGCAUGGUGGGGGUUGGAAAGUUUCGGCGGUUGGGGAUGGACUCGCGGCUUAUCAGCUUGUUGGUGGGGUAGUGGCUUACCAAGGCUUUGACGGGUAGCCGGCCUGAGAGGGUGACCGGCCACAUUGGGACUGAGAUACGGCCCAGACUCCUACGGGAGACAGCAGUGGGGAAUAUUGCACAAUGGGCGGAAGCCUGAUGCAGCAACGCCGCGUGCGGGAUGACGGCCUUCGGGUUGUAAACCGCUUUCGCCUGUGACGAAGCGUGAGUGACGGUAAUGGGUAAAGAAGCACCGGCUAACUACGUG
RNAcentral lists this ribosomal RNA (466 nucleotides) under uncultured bacterium. RNAcentral's name for it is "partial 16S ribosomal RNA". It matches the Rfam family "Bacterial small subunit ribosomal RNA", at positions 30 to 507 of the family's 1533-position model. The record is from RNAcentral.